Molecule: long non-coding RNA, 3793 nt
Filed under: Selaginella moellendorffii
Lineage: Eukaryota; Viridiplantae; Streptophyta; Lycopodiopsida; Selaginellales; Selaginellaceae
Description: long non-coding RNA (SMOE_LNC002063)
Source: RNAcentral
GCGGGAGCCUGGAGGAGGCCGAGCGGCUGUUCGCGGCGGCCAAGGAGAAGACGGUGGUGUCCUGGACGGCGAUGGUGGCGGCCUUCUCCCAGUAUGGCCGCUACGCGGAGGCGCUGGACCUCUUCCAGGAGAUGGACCUCGAGGGAGUGAAGCCGGACGACGUGACUUACACGAGCAUCCUGUUUGUGUGCACGCACGGCGGCAGCCUGGAGCAGGGGUGGCGCUACUUCACGGACAUGGCGGAGCUCCACGGCCUGGCUCCAACGGCGGACCACUUCGCGGCGAUGGUGGACCUGCUGGGACGAUCCGGGCGGCUCUUCGACGCAAAGGAGCUGCUGGAGAGCAUGCCGUUUGAGCCGGACCCGGUGGCGUGGAUGACGUUCCUGACGGCGUGCCGGAUCCACGGGAAGCUGGAGCUGGGCGAAGCCGCGGCAGAGAGAGUCUACGAGCUGGAUCCGUCGAGCACUGCUCCUUACAUCGCCAUGUCCAACAUCUACGCGGCUCACGGGAUGUGGGAAAAGGUGGCGAGCGUGAGGAAGAAGAUGGAGGAGAGGGGGCUCAAGAAGCUGCCGGGGCUGAGCUUCAUCGAGGUGGACGGGAAGCUCCACGAGUUUAGCUCCGGCGGGAAGUACCAUCCCAGGACGGACGAGAUCUGCGAGGAGCUCACGCGGCUCCACGGGCUGAUGCGCGCGGCGGGCUACGUCCCGGACACCAAGGCGGUGCUUCACGACGUGAGCGAGGGGGAGAAGGAGACGAUGCUGUUGUAUCACAGCGAGAAGAUGGCCAUCGCGUUUGGGCUGGUGAGCUCGCGGGGGAGCGGCGAGCCCAUCCGGGUGGUGAAGAACUUGCGGGUGUGCUCCGACUGCCACACCGCCACCAAGUUUAUCGCCAGGAUCGCUGGUCGGGAUAUCAUCCUCCGGGAUUGCAAUCGAUUCCACCGGUUUAGCAGCGAUGGGAAGUGCUCGUGUGGGGAUUACUGGUAGAGAGAGAGAGAGUUCCAGCAGCAGCGGCGCCGCCCGCCCCGCCGCCAUGGUGUGGAAGAUAUAGUACUUAAUGCUGGUCGUGCUCGUGUUGUGAAUCUCCCGUGGUGGCGAUCGUUACCACCACCACCACCACCACCACCAACAGUAACACAAAUUCAUUUACAAAGAAUUUUCUCUUUUUUUCUUGAAUAUUCUUUUAGCCAAGAAAAAGGAAUACAAAAACUUUGAAUGAAUUUAGCAUGAUUGAGUUUUUACUUCGAGAAAAAGAUAAAAUGUCUUGCAAAAACUUUGAAUGUCUCCACAAGCAUUAUUUACAUUGUCGCUAUUGAUGGGGCUGCGUUGUUGAUUUUAAUCCAAGCUGGCCUCAAAUUUCCACUCGCAGUCGUCAUUGUCAGGAGCACUCGCCUGGCUGUGUCCUCAGCCUUCUCUUGGAAAUAUGGCAUCUUCAAGGCGUCUUGCGCCGAGAUCCUCCUCGCCGGAUCAAUCGCUAGCAUCCUCUUGAGCAGCUCCACCGCAUCGGGGUCUUUAAUUCCGCUCCUCGCGUCCUCGGCUUUCCACCGCGCCAUCUUCUCCAAGAUCCUCUUGCGUGCUCGCUCUCGGCGCCUGUCUUGAUAGCCCAUGCCACAGCCAUCGAUGUCCAGCUUCUUGGCGAAAUCAGCCACAAAGUAGUCGAGCGAGUCCCAGUCCUCCUCGUCGGUCACGUCAAAGGGAUUGCUACCCAGGAGCAUCUCCGCGAAUAUACACCCGGCGCCCCACACGUCGAUUGCGGUGCCAAAGCUGGUGGCACCCUUGAGAAGCUCCGGAGCGUUGAACGUUAGGGUGCCGACCUUGUUCGACCAGGGGCGUGUCCGCAGCCUCCUCGCGGCAGCGAAGUCCGCCAGCUUCACCACAAGCUUAUUCUUCUCUCCAUCCCUUUUGACGAGAACGUUGCUCGUCUUGACGUCUUGGUGAACGAUUCUGUGCGCGUGAAUCCACGCCAGGCCCUCGAGGAUCUGGCGCAUCACGGCCCUGAUGUCGUGCUCCCCAAGCUUGCGUGACAAGAUCACAUCGCUCAAACUCCCGUCCAUGAGCUCCAUCACCAUGAAUGUCCCCUGGUUGUUGCAGGUCAACCCAAGAAGAUUGACAACGUUGUCGUGCGCUACCUCUUCCAGGAUCUCCGACUCGUUGAUGAUGGCAUCGUAAAGGUACUCGUGCUCGUACAUCUUCUUCAUGGCUACUUUGUCUCCAGUCUCUCGGUGGAACCCAACCCUCACCUCUCCGUCGCCUCCAGCGCCUAGCAACCUCGCGUCACUCGCCCACACAUAGUCUGCCAUCGCUCGAAAAAAUGAAUGGUUAGGAAAACCUAAAGGAUUUGUUUUGCAGAAAAAGGCACCUAGCUUCAAGAAAAAGAUGAGAAAAGGGAGUUUAUUUUAAUUACAAAUGUAAAAAGAAAGGAAAAAAACUCUUUAAAUCUUGCUGCGGGCAGCAUAUUCUCCUUGAGCUUCCUUGAUCAUGUCCAGCCCUACGUUGGGUGCGGUUGCAGAGGACCUGUCUGGGAUCGUCAAGAGAGCACCAUAACUACACACACACACACAAAAAAGUAAAGAAAAAAAGGAUCAGAAAGCAUAUAAAAAGAAAAUGUGCCAAGCUUUUUUGUUUCGGUUUUGGCUAUUGAGGGCCGAGAUGUAAAACGCCAACGUUUAUCUCAAAGAACCAUGAGAUCGCCCGGGUGCAAAAGGUUGAGGCGUGGUACUCCUGCAAAAUCACAGCAUAUCUCUCACUUACACACACACACACACACAAAGGAGAGAUUUUAAGCUUGGUGAUAAAAAGUGGUAGAAAAAAAUGACCAAACAACUUAAAAGGUGCAAAGAGAAGAAAAUGGCCAAAAGGUUUUUAGAAUCUGACCAUUUUUUUCUCUCAUACUUUUACCCAUCUUACCUUUUUCUAUAAUAUAAAAAAGGUGGUGACAGAGAUUUUUAAAAAAACAUUGGAGUUCUUGAUGAGUGUGAGAGUAUUGAAGCUAAAAAAAGGUGGUGAAAAUCGUGCAAUGAGAAAAAAAUCUGACUGGGGUAAAACUAAUGUGGAUUAAAAAAAGCUGGGUGUUUGGUUUUUUAGGGCUCUUGACGAUGACGUGAGAGAGAGCGAGAGAACGGGCGAUCGACGAUCGGCGCGGCGGCUGCGCGCGCGCGAGGAGAAUCCAUCCAUGUCAUCAGAGCAGCAGCAGCAGCGGCUGGAGCGGGAGCGGCGACAAGGCAAGUAAGAAGAAGAUGAGCAGCGGUGGCGCCAUGGCGGCGGAAAUGGGGAUCCCCAGCGGCGCCCUGGAGCGCAUCUUCGUCCGCCUGGACCGCGACGACGUAGCGCGCUCGUGCGCGGUGUGCCGUGAAGAUCUUCAGGGAGAUGACCGGCGCCGCUGGCUUGAAGCCCGACGCCGUGACUUUCAUCGCCGUGUUGGAGGCCUGCGCGAGCCUGGGCCGCCUCUUGGAAGUCAAGGCCCUCCACGCGCAGAUAUCCGAGAGCGAGCUGGAAUCCAACGUGGUGGUGACGAACACGCUGAUCAACAUGUACGCGCGCUGCGGGAGCCUGGAGGAGGCCGAGCGGCUGUUCGCGGCGGCCAAGGAGAAGACGGUGGUGUCCUGGACGGCGAUGGUGGCGGCCUUCUCCCAGUAUGGCCGCUACGCGGAGGCGCUGGACCUCUUCCAGGAGAUGGACCUCGAGGGAGUGAAGCCGGACGACGUGACUUACACGAGCAUCCUGUUUGUGUGCACGCACGGCGGCAGCCUGGAGCAGGGGUGGCGCUACUUCACGGACAUGGCGGAGCUCCACGGCCU